GCGCGCUUAGCUCAGUGGGAGAGCGCCUCGUUUACACCGAGGAUGUCGGCAGUUCGAUCCUGUCAGCGUGCACCA
This 75-nucleotide transfer RNA is filed under the name Rhodopseudomonas sp. BR0C11. RNAcentral's name for it is "tRNA-Val". It matches the Rfam family "tRNA". From Rfam's summary of the family: Transfer RNA (tRNA) molecules are approximately 80 nucleotides in length. Their secondary structure includes four short double-helical elements and three loops (D, anti-codon, and T loops). Further hydrogen bonds mediate the characteristic L-shaped molecular structure. tRNAs have two regions of fundamental functional importance: the anti-codon, which is responsible for specific mRNA codon recognition, and the 3' end, to which the tRNAs corresponding amino acid is attached (by aminoacyl-tRNA synthetases). tRNAs cope with the degeneracy of the genetic code in two manners: having more than one tRNA (with a specific anti-codon) for a particular amino acid; and 'wobble' base-pairing, i.e. permitting non-standard base-pairing at the 3rd anti-codon position. The record is from RNAcentral. Lineage: Bacteria; Pseudomonadati; Pseudomonadota; Alphaproteobacteria; Hyphomicrobiales; Nitrobacteraceae.